Molecule: long non-coding RNA, 1929 nt
Filed under: Homo sapiens (human)
Lineage: Eukaryota; Metazoa; Chordata; Mammalia; Primates; Hominidae
Description: non-protein coding lnc-NRG2-8:1
Source: RNAcentral
GGACACAAGCAAAGCUGGGCUGGGAAAGCGCUGACCCAGCUGCUCACCUUCACCACAAAGAAGCCUGGGACUCAAGAAGAGUGGAAGGAGAUCCUGGAUCUGGGCCAGCUGCCUCAUUGAAGGUUUCUUUGACAUCUCCUGUUUUAUCUUUUUUUUUUUUUUUUUGAGACAGCAUCUUGCUCUGUCACCCAGGCUUGAGUGCACUGGCACAAUCAUGGCUCACUGCAGCCUCAACUUCCUGGGCUCAAGCGAUCCUCCUACCUCAGCCUCCCGAAUAGGUGGGCCUACAGGUGCGUCACCACACCCAGCUAAUUUUUGCUUUUAUUUUUAUUAUUUAUUUUUUGAGACAGAGUCUCAUUCUGUCACCCAGGCUGGAGUGCAAUGGUGCGAUCUCAGCUCACUGCAACUUCCAGCUCCCAGGUUCAAGUGAUUUUCCCCAUCUCAGAGAGGCAAAAAUUAAUUUCCUUUGGCAUAAACUGAUUUUGAUGAGCCCAGUCCCCGGUGAGGCUUCACAGCAAUGCAGGGAACGGCAGGCAGCAGCAUGACUUACGGGCCUCAAGGCCCCAGACGCCCAGCUGCUUCUGAUGGCUCUGGACAUUUCCAGCCCCCUAAAUCAGCUGCCACACAGCGACCUGGAGUGCUGCCCAGCCUGUCCUCAGUCUCGGCUGGUGCCCCUGACAGGCGCCUCCCAGGUCAGGGGGCACAGUCUGCAUGGAAGUAGGUGACUUCAUCCAGGCUGACUCACCCCAGCCGGCCACUGGAGAUGGACUGCAGGAGGGAGGAGGACGCAGUCCCCUCCAGCCUGGAGCUUUGGCAGGGAUCCUCACCCUCCCUCUGCACCCUUAGGGGUUCCCCAAACCAGACUGUGCCCUACCCUACUCCAUACCAUCCAUCCUUCAGAAUCCACACUGAUGGUCCUGCGAACGGUCCAGAACUUUGGCUCAGAACCCAGGCCCACUGCCCCUCUUACCAGCCAGGCAAAGCAGACCAGCACUGUAACCUCUGAGACUCAGUUUCUUCAUCCGUAAAAUGACCACGGUGACCCCUGCUCCACCUACUCCCAAGAAGUAUUGGGUGAAUCUGGCUGAUGUGAGAGGGUCUUAGAGAUAGGAAAGUAACAUGUGAGAUGGGGGAUGGGAAGUUAUCUCAGUGGACCCCCAUGCCACUACGUUGAGCCCAGACCUCUUCUCCUGGUCUGCAGUGCCCUAAAUGAAUGCCCUCCCCUGCCCUUCUCUCUGCCCCCUUAUACUCCACCCCCUGCCUCUAUCACAAGAAUAGCACAGAAAGACCGGACCCCAUGAUUUAAUUACCUCCCCCUGGGUCCCUCCCACAACAAGUGGGAAUUAUGGGAGAUACAAUUCAAGUUGAGAUUUGGGUGGGGACACAGCCAAACCAUAUGAUUCCGACCCUGGCUCCCCCAAAUCUCAUGUCCUCACAUUUCAAAACCAAUCAUGCCUUCCCAACACUCCCCUAAAGUCUUAACUCAUUUCACCAUUAACCCAAAAGUCCACAGUCCAAAGUCUUAUCUGAGACAAGGCAAGUCCCUUCCACCUAUGAGCCUGUAAAAUCAAAAACAAGUGGCUGGGUGCAGUGGCUCACACCUGUAAUCACAGCACUUUGGGAGGCCGGGGUAGGUGGGUCAUUUGAAGUCAGGAAUUUGAGACCAGCCUGGCCAACACGGUGAAACCCUGCCUCUACUAAAAAUACAAAAUUAACUGGGCGUGGUGGCAUGCGCCUGUAGUCCCAGCUACUCAGGAGGCUGAGACAGGAGAAUCACUUGAACCCGGGAGGUGGAGGCUGCAGUGAGCUGAAAUCACACCACUACACUCCAGCCUGAGCGACAGAGUGAGACUCUGUCUUAAAAAAAAAAAAAAAAAAAAAAGCCAGGUGCGGUGGCUCACGCUUGUAAUCCCAGCAUCUUGGGAGGCC